UUUUAUGGAGAGUUUGAUCCUGGCUCAGGAUGAACGCUGGCGGCGUGCCUAAUACAUGCAAGUCGAGCGAACGGACGAGAAGCUUGCUUCUCUGAUGUUAGCGGCGGACGGGUGAGUAACACGUGGAUAACCUACCUAUAAGACUGGGAUAACUUCGGGAAACCGGAGCUAAUACCGGAUAAUAUUUUGAACCGCAUGGUUCAAAAGUGAAAGACGGUCUUGCUGUCACUUAUAGAUGGAUCCGCGCUGCAUUAGCUAGUUGGCAAGGUAACGGCUUACCAAGGCAACGAUGCAUAGCCGACCUGAGAGGGUGAUCGGCCACACUGGAACUGAGACACGGUUCAGACUCCUACGGGAGGCAGCAGUAGGGAAUCUUCCGCAAUGGGCGAAAGCCUGACGGAGCAACGCCGCGUGAGUGAUGAAGGUCUUCGGAUCGUAAAACUCUGUUAUUAGGGAAGAACAUAUGUGUAAGUAACUGUGCACAUCUUGACGGUACCUAAUCAGAAAGCCACGGCUAACUACGUGCCAGCAGCCGCGGUAAUACGUAGGUGGCAAGCGUUAUCCGGAAUUAUUGGGCGUAAAGCGCGCAUAGGCGGUUUUUUAAGUCUGAUGUGAAAGCCCACGGCUCAACCGUGGAGGGUCAUUGGAAACUGGAAAACUUGAGUGCAGAAGAGGAAAGUGGAAUUCCAUGUGUAGCGGUGAAAUGCGCAGAGAUAUGGAGGAACACCAGUGGCGAAGGCGACUUUCUGGUCUGUAACUGACGCUGAUGUGCGAAAGCGUGGGGAUCAAACAGGAUUAGAUACCCUGGUAGUCCACGCCGUAAACGAUGAGUGCUAAGUGUUAGGGGGUUUCCGCCCCUUAGUGCUGCAGCUAACGCAUUAAGCACUCCGCCUGGGGAGUACGACCGCAAGGUUGAAACUCAAAGGAAUUGACGGGGACCCGCACAAGCGGUGGAGCAUGUGGUUUAAUUCGAAGCAACGCGAAGAACCUUACCAAAUCUUGACAUCCUUUGACAACUCUAGAGAUAGAGCUUUCCCCUUCGGGGGACAAAGUGACAGGUGGUGCAUGGUUGUCGUCAGCUCGUGUCGUGAGAUGUUGGGUUAAGUCCCGCAACGAGCGCAACCCUUAAGCUUAGUUGCCAUCAUUAAGUUGGGCACUCUAAGUUGACUGCCGGUGACAAACCGGAGGAAGGUGGGGAUGACGUCAAAUCAUCAUGCCCCUUAUGAUUUGGGCUACACACGUGCUACAAUGGACAAUACAAAGGGCAGCGAAACCGCGAGGUCAAGCAAAUCCCAUAAAGUUGUUCUCAGUUCGGAUUGUAGUCUGCAACUCGACUACAUGAAGCUGGAAUCGCUAGUAAUCGUAGAUCAGCAUGCUACGGUGAAUACGUUCCCGGGUCUUGUACACACCGCCCGUCACACCACGAGAGUUUGUAACACCCGAAGCCGGUGGAGUAACCUUUUAGGAGCUAGCCGUCGAAGGUGGGACAAAUGAUUGGGGUGAAGUCGUAACAAGGUAGCCGUAUCGGAAGGUGCGGCUGGAUCACCUCCUUUCU
This 1555-nucleotide ribosomal RNA is filed under the name Staphylococcus aureus subsp. aureus ED98. Its description in RNAcentral is "16S ribosomal RNA". It matches the Rfam family "Bacterial small subunit ribosomal RNA". Lineage: Bacteria; Bacillati; Bacillota; Bacilli; Caryophanales; Staphylococcaceae. The record is from RNAcentral.